Biomphalaria pfeifferi is the source of this 312-nucleotide non-coding RNA. The record is from the annotation of a GenBank genome assembly. NCBI's taxonomy places the organism in Eukaryota, Metazoa, Mollusca, Gastropoda, Planorbidae.
AUUAGAAGUUUAAAUUAUGGGCCCAAAGUCCAGCAUAUUAUUGCACGCAAAUUUAUUUCAAAUUGAACGACUUAUUUAGACUAAUUAGAGUCUAUAGGUUGGUCUAGACCUCAUACAAACUUGAUGAGAGAUCUUAAUUAGCAGUACUAAUACAGAAAAGAAAGGCAUUUGAAUACACUUUAAUGUAUUUAAACUUAAGCAUAUUUUCUAAAUUUUAACAGAAGGGCAUGUUAAUCUAUGAGAAGAGGCUAAAAACUACACGUAGGAAGGUCACACAUAAUACCUUACCUCUUUGUAAGAUGUCUAACACCA